Eubalaena glacialis (North Atlantic right whale) is the source of this 1064-nucleotide long non-coding RNA. RefSeq lists it as uncharacterized. The transcript has 3 exons. The record is from RefSeq and is a predicted model, not a curated record. NCBI's taxonomy places the organism in Eukaryota, Metazoa, Chordata, Mammalia, Artiodactyla, Balaenidae.
UAGAAGGAAGUUUUCUUCCUUUAGGAAUAUUUUAGAAACCGACUUCAGAAAAAUAAUGCAUAAUGCCUGAUAAUAAACAACUCAGUUUCUUUUGUGAAGAACUCUAAGAUCAGGGGCUGAAUCAGCAAGAGCUGGUGAAACUACAUCUUUACCCUUUAUCCUCCUUUUUGGAAAAAUUAUUCUUUCGAAACAUCAACUCUUUUGGCCUGAUGUUCAGGUCCCUGUCACUGGGUUUGCCUGGCUGACGGCAAAAAAUCAUAGGCUGAGGUACCAAUCUAGGAGACUGAAAUAAGAGUAGGGAUUAGGUGGAGAAGAAGGAAACUCUUUCUCCCUAUAUUCUUGCUUAGUUAAUACCUAAUGGCUUUUUAAGGGGUUGCAAGUAUAGUUUAAUAAAAAUGUGCCAAUAUCUAGCAGCAAAGGCACUCUGCCAACAUCAUAAGCCCCUCUGCACCUGCUCUGGCGUAAUAACUUUGAUAAGAACUACUCAUUACUGAGCACCUAUUGUAAGACUCUAUAAUCCUUCCAACAACCUGAUUAUUCCAAUGAAGACAUAGCUAUUCAGAAGACAUAACAAUUCAGAGCCAGGACUGUUUGCCUUGAAGUACAUGUUUUUCCUUGUCUACUUUCUCUCUCUUCCUCUCCUCUUUCUCCUCUAGUACUUUUCAGAUUCCUGCCUUUUCCUUCUAGCCCACCUGGAUUUCAGGCCAGCCUUUAUACCCAUCCCAGGUGCAUCACCGAUCCCCAUGGCUUUAAGAUCUCCUGUUCCCAUGGCCCUGCACCUGGUGGACUGAGAGGGAUGCCAGCUGCUCUUUCUUUGCAGGGCACAGAGCUCUGAGUAGCACACCAAGAUGUGCAGGAACCUGGAAGCUGAGAACCCUUACAUAUUCUGAGUCUCUGAGUCAUUGAAGAAAAAGAAGGUGAGGUCACAGUGAGAAGGUGGCCAUCUACAAGCCAGAAAGGGACAGCUAUCACCAGAAACCGACCAUCAACCAUGCUAGCAUCCUGAUCUUGAACUUCCAUCCUCCAGAACUUCACAAGAUGUUGGUGUGUGAGCCGUGCAGUGA